This 254-nucleotide ribosomal RNA is filed under the name uncultured bacterium. Its description in RNAcentral is "partial 16S ribosomal RNA". It matches the Rfam family "Bacterial small subunit ribosomal RNA", at positions 524 to 777 of the family's 1533-position model. The record is from RNAcentral.
UACGGAGGGGGCUAGCGUUGUUCGGAAUUACUGGGCGUAAAGCGCACGUAGGCGGCUUUGUAAGUUAGAGGUGAAAGCCCAGGGCUUAACCCUGGAAUUGCCUUUAAGACUGCAUCGCUAGAAUCGUGGAGAGGUGAGUGGAAUUCCGAGUGUAGAGGUGAAAUUCGUAGAUAUUCGGAAGAACACCGGUGGCGAAGGCGGUGAGCUGGGCAGUUGCUGACACUGAGGCGCGACAGCGUGGGGAGCAAACAGGG